CCUGUGCUGCUAUCAGCCACAGGGCUUGAGGAGACAGGACAACCUGUCCUCGCUGUGCGUGAAAGCAGGUUAUCCUCAGUUAGUAGAAAGAAGCUCUGGAGCUGAGCAUCCAAAAGCCAUCCGUUGUCUUUGAAUUGCCACCGUGAGCAGCAGCAGGGAUGACAGGCAGGCAGCACGGUGAAGAAAGUCUCAGUGAGCCUUGCGACACGUGGCUCAGCCUGACCCUUGCUCUGGAGCAGUUGAGGACGUCCGGGAGAGAUUAGCAGUGUUUCCAGUCCGAGUCCCAGCAAGGCCGGAGAACCUGUGCUUUCCUGGCGGUGGAUGCGGCAGAGAGACCUGAUUAACAUGAUGAGGAGCCUACUCAGGGCCAGGCUCUUCUGCCUAAACAUAGAGGCCACCAGGUGAACAAAUGGGCCCCAGCUCCCUGUGGGUGGAGACCAGCCCUCUGUGUGAUUCCUCUCCUCCUAAGGAGGAAACCUGUACCUGGUGAAAAUCUGAGGUUAUACUUAUUAGGAGGUUCUGGAGCAUUUUCUGCAUUUCCUUGCUGAUCCCAGGGGAUGAAUUGGCUCCAAGAAGGAAUGGCAUUCCUUGGACUCUCACCUCGGCAUGCCUUGACUGGAAGCUCUGGCUGUCAGAGGUACCCAGAGAGAGUUUUGUUGAUGAAAACCGUUGCUUGGACUUCUCCCACACAAGUGCUGGAAGAAUGAGCCAUUUGUUUGGAGAAUUGUCUCCUUCCCCAUGGACAGGUGCCACUGUGAGUGAAACCAUCUCAGGCAGCAUACACAGCUCUCACGGACACUGCACAGUGCCGUGGCAAAGAGCAGACUUUGAAGUUCACUAACUGAGGCGAGAUUGCCAGAUAUUUGUGAGCUGAUGGAUAAUUGACAUCAGGAAACAUUCGCAACUGGCUGCUCGUGAAAGCCUUUGAGGAGUUCUGGAGCCUGUGAUUUCCUUCCGACACACCCAAUUUCUAGCAGUAGGAUCAUGGCUUAUGAUCCCCAGAGGGAAGGAAAGGAACCUCAAACCCUGCGUCAAGACAGUGUCAGUGGUUACCUGGCUGUUUACUAUCCAGCUAGAAAACAUUGCAGCAGUCACCCAAAAUCCCCAGGACGUUGUCUGCUGUUUGUAAAAGUCAGCA
Molecule: long non-coding RNA, 1138 nt
Organism: Athene cunicularia (burrowing owl)
Lineage: Eukaryota; Metazoa; Chordata; Aves; Strigiformes; Strigidae
Exons: 7
Source: RefSeq, a predicted model, not a curated record